UUCACCUUCCGCACCUGCGUCCAUGUGUUCUACCCCCCGCAAGACUGCUUGAGAUGCUCGCUGCUGCAAGCAACCAUGGCCGGAUUCAUCUGCUUGGGCGGAGGCCAUGGGCGGAUUCAACCUGUCCAUGGAUGGAUUCAUCUGCUUGGGAGGAGGGGAUUCUUUUGCGCCAUGGGUGAGCUGCUAGCGGCGUCAACAGGGACAGCGGCGGCGGUGGUGGGCGGUGACUGCGGGGAGGAUAGUUUUGGGCGGCGACGGCGAUGGCCUCCAGGAUUUUUUGCUGCAUAGAAUUUUUGCUGGAACCAGCAUUUGACUUUGCUACAACCGAGGAGGAUGGCGCUGGGACGGCGAUGGCCGGCAUGAUUUUUUUGCUGCAUUGAUAUUUCAAUUUUGCUGGAAACCUUUUCAAUUUUGCUGGAACCGUAUCACAAUUUUGUUGAAACCAUGUUUAGUUUUUGCUGGAUCAUAACAUUGUUUACUAGAAACAAUUUAUAGUUUUUGCUGGAACCAUAUCGCUUUUCUGCUGGAACCAUAUUGUUUUUUGCUGGAACCAUGUUUUUUUUGUUUCAAACCGGCGACAUCCUGCUCUCCGUGUUUUUUUGCUGGAACCACCUCUCUGUUUUGCCGGAAUUGGGGUCGAAGGGUGCUGGGACUGGUGAACUCAUGGUGGUGGAUCGCGAUGUCGCAUGCAGUUGACCGGCGAUAACUAUUUUUUGCAACUUGUGUUGUGUUUGUUUGCUGGAACCAGCGGAUCCAAUUGCUGGAGUCGGUGAAGCAUUUUGCUGCAACGGCGAAAUCGAUGGUGCCGGACUGCGUCGUCAUUUUUGCUGGAAUGAAGCUGUCGACGACGAGGUGGAGAGCAAGACUCCGGCAGCUGUGCGGGUGGGGGGCAGGGAUGCGAGGGAUUUUGGCGAUCUGGUGGGCCGCAUCUUUUUUUUUCUCUCGUGCGUGUUUGGAUGCGAGAUGUGGGGGACAAAACACUCCUGAUCUGACGGUUGGCAGUUAGCGUAGCGGACGCACGGGAUGCGACCGGCCGAAACUUUCGGCCGGCGCGCCGGCGCCUAUAAGCUCUAGGUGAUGGUUAGUAGUUUGUGGGUGGAGGCGGCCCAUAGUUAUUUGGAGGCCUGUCCACUCCCGGAUACCCAGCCCAGCCCAGCGCCGCCGACGCCCUUCCGCGGACAGAGCACGAGACGGCGGAGCGGGGUCCUCCUCCUCGUCGGCGGCGGUUUCCUCUCCGGCGGUGACCUCCUCCUACCCCCACUUCCCACUUCCUUCGGAGUUUGAUGGAAGAUCUCGGAGCGUCUCGUCCUCGCCGGCAACCAUACGGCGCUCCUCGCACUGACGCUGCCCAAACGGAGGGCCCAGAUCUCCCGGAGGUGCCUUGAAUUUCAAGUGCAUUGCAUAUCCAUCAUUUUACCUGCUGUGUAUUGGGAUCUAGCAGCUAGCUGUUGGGCUGUAUAGUAUCUGCUGAUUGCAUUUUGCACUGUGUGUUUACUCAUUUGUAGCACAUCAUAUCUUGGUUAGCAAAUGCUUGUUGACUAUGCCUAAAUUAAGUAGGAACGGUCCCUUCGGGGACAUCCGAUAAAUUAAGUAGGAACGUACUAGGUGGCGGUGCUCAACAUACAGCACAUUCCAAUGCAGGCUGCAUCUUUGUAACAUUGUGCGCUUUGUGCGAUCACACGCGUGUAUCUUACAGUGCCGAUUCUGAACUUUUCUCGGGCGCUUUUGUGUGCAGGACGUCUGGCACUAUAUACAUUCCUUGAUACCGCUGAGAGAUGCUGCCCGAGCCACCUGCGUAUCUCGGUCCUUUAUGUGUUCCUGGAGAUGCCAUCUCAACCUCAUUUGGAGUAGGGACACUUUGGGCUUGGAGGCAGAUGUGUUUGAAAAGAUAACAGCUAGAGAUUUCAGAACCAGAAUCGACCACAUUCUGAGCAAACCAUUCGGGCACCGGGUGAGGAAACUCAGCCUUUUGGUUGGUUCCAAAUUACAAUACGAAGGACCAUCAUUAUAUCAUCGAAUGGAUUCAGAAAGCAGUUACACCAGGGAUUGAAGAACUCGCCCUUUGUCUGCCUACAAUUAAUCUGGCAUCAUUGUGCCUAUGGUCAAUUCACCAAUGGUAUCUAGGAAACUUGCUGACCUGAAAUCUGUGAACCUCUCUUGGAGAAUUCCCCUUUGGUCGGGGCUUUUACUGCUCUUCUCUGGUUUCUAUCUUUCGUGCUUCCUCAUGCUGGAACCGUUAACUGAAUGAAGGUUGUCUUUUCAUCUCUAGGUAUCCAAUGACCUCAUGCUGCAUGUCUUAGUUUUGGGAGAUCCCUGGAUUUCCAGAACCAGUGGUCUCUUAUCACCAGCGAAUAAGAUGCUGGUCGAGCUAACAUGCCAUAUCCUCAGGGCCUGGUCUCAUGCCAUAUUCUUGGAGUGCAACGUCAUAAUGUUAGCCCAGAACUACUCGCUAGCACUCGAGUAUACUGAUAGAUGACCGGUGGAAGAGCAAAGUGAUGGUACGCUCAGGCUCUCUAGGCUAGUACGCACACACACACUAGUGAAGCAUGCACCGAUGGAGCUACACUUGAGAAAAGAUACUACUUGAAUUGAUCGGAGUGGAAUAAGUUACAUCGAUGGAGCACAGCUCCUUAUAUAGUGGUCACGAACCGACCUAAGCAAAAUAUCUGCUAGAUAUGAAGUAAGCACUUGCGUCACAUACUAGCUUAUCUAGUAAGCUUCGUUUCUACUACUACUGCCUUAACUAGUAAGGAAUGCAAAAGCUGUUGCUGCCGACCUGCAACUUCUAGCCAUGCAUGCAUCGGAGACAGGGUUGGGCCUACACAUAACAGGGGCAGAGUAAUGCCAAAUGCUUGAAAUGGACAUGCAUAGAGAACACUCUACAGCCGAAAAAUAAACUAAGGCCAAGCCCGCUUUCCUCAAUUUUGGUCGAUCAUGCUUUUGAAGAUUGAACACUAGAUGCCAUUGUCAAGCAGUAUGGUGGUUAAAGGUACUCUUAGCUUGUUAUUCGUUCAUUUCAUAUUUAUUUAUUUUGACCUCCAUGCUAAAAUGAAGUUAGGGUGGUCUCCAGAACAAGGAAAAUGUCGCAGAAAAUGUAAUCCUAUUUCAGAAUGCCCUAGUUUCAUGGUAAAUGACAUAUAUUAGCUGUAAAGGCGAACAAUAAAACAACUUUUCUGUACUGUGUAUUCAGGAACUGGCAGACAAUUGCCUAUGUAAAACCUCAUUCGCUUCUAGGAGUAGGAAAUCCUGAAAAUCUGUAUCAUAAAUCAAGACAGGGAAUCAUGGACGCAUAUGCCACACUGGCACAAAUCCAAAGAGCUCUAUCAUCAUAAAUCGUGUACACCUAUUCUCACAAAGAAGUUCAAUAACUAGCAGGAAAGGGAGCAUUGUACCCUUUCUUUUAUUUUUAGCUUUAUCUCUCAAUCCUGCAACCGGCUAGCUACAAGCAAAGGAUUGAUUUGUUGCUUUACCAAAGGAAAAGGUGUAAGGCGCUAGCAGGAGAGGAAUACUUGCAACUUUUCUUUGUCUCCUUUGAAGGCUUUUAUCUUCAAAUCCUGCAGCUACAAGCAAAGGAUUGAUUCGUGGCUUUACUAAAAGAAAAAGAAAAAGGUGUAAGGAAUAACACCGCCUUGCUUGUCUAAGGCAUUUCUACAUACACUACACUUCCUAAGUUUUGCUCUCUGUCCAGCUUGUAGUCGCUCCUCAACCACAUUUGGCUUCUAUCUGGCUACUCUCUGGAUGGUACCAAUUAUUCAACUGAAGCAAGGUACAUAACUAUUUCACCUGUACUCAAUCUACCUGCCUGCUUCAGAUUUAUACUACGAAGCACCGAUAUGCCAGAAACUGGAGUAUCGGCGUACUAAACGUUUCUGAUAUGGGGAUACGCACGAUACGGCUAGGAUACGGUUAUCGGCGAAGUAUCCUAUUUUCUGAUUUAAAAAGAAAAGAAAAAACGUCGAUACGUCCUGUGCAUCGUCUACGAUACGGGAGCGACAUGGCAGCCCACUGGAAGGCCCAUGGCUAACCCUAGCAUCUGGGCCCCCUCUCUUUUGUUUUAUUCGCACGACAGGAGCUUGCACGAGGGAGCCGUCGCCGCUGGACAAGCCUCCCCGCCGGCCGCAGCCGCAGACUGGAGUCACUCGCCGCCUAGAGUGGCUCACCGGCGCCGCUGGAAUUGCCUCGCUGCCGCCUCAACUCGCCCCCACCGGCUGGAAUCGCCUCUCCGCUUGAAUCUUCUGCUCUUCUCCACCGCCGUCGCAACUCACAAGAAACAGAUCGACAAGAAAUUUAUCUGCUGGAGCUUGCAAACAAGAUUGACAAUUGAUGAGUGUAAGCCCAAAAUGAAAUAAAUGUAGUGGCUGGAGAUCCACAGAUCUGACAGUUAAUCAUGCGAACUGAGGUUAUAAAGGCGGACACCAUUGAUGCAGCUGCUGAACGAAUUCUUGAUGAACUCAAAAACACUAGAAGCAGAGAGAAUGCUAUCUACUUUGAUGGCUGGGAUGGCCUGGGGGCAUCUGCCGUCCUGCGAGCCGUGGCCCAGCGGCUGGCACCAAAGGAACAAACAAGGCCCCCCAGGACUGGAGUUUGAGCAAGUCAUCCACAUUGACUCCUCAAAGUGGGAGAGCAGAAGAGCGGUGCAGAGGGAAAUCUCAGAGCAGCUGAAGCUUCCCGGUUGGGUGAGGAAGAUGUUUGACAAGCAAGAUGAGGAUGAUGAUUUCAGCGGUAUGGAUCAAGGCUCUCGCACUGAGAUAGCAGAAGUCACGGCUGAGAUCCAUAGGAGCAUGCAGAGCCGCAGGUUUCUUCUGGUUCUUCACAACGGAAGCAGCGAGGAGAUUGACACAUUUAACCUCGGUCUUUCCCUAUAUGGAUACUUGAGUAGCAAGAUGCUUUGGACCUUCCAAGGGAGGUUUCGGCUCGACCCCAAGCUGCGAGACAAGGUUGUGGCAAAGAACACAACUGAUGUUCUUCUCUCAGCUUCGCGCUCUAAGCGAGACCCACAAGAUCUCUGGUCCUAUCUACUUCUUGAAGAAGCUAAGGACGUCUCCUGCAAGCAUGGCCUGGAUCCUGCAACUGUUGCUGAGUGCUACUCGUACAUGUUGGAGCGGAGUUACAUGAGCCAAAAUAUCAUUGACUAUGAGUGGACUCUCCAUGCGAGUAAAUGGCACUGACAGUCAUAUAACUUGUGCGGUGGGUGCACUUUAGUCACACUACUCACAAUCCGGAAAUACUGGUCACAGAACUUGUGCUU
Long non-coding RNA from Aegilops tauschii subsp. strangulata, 5248 nucleotides. RefSeq lists it as uncharacterized. The record is from RefSeq and is a predicted model, not a curated record. NCBI's taxonomy places the organism in Eukaryota, Viridiplantae, Streptophyta, Magnoliopsida, Poales, Poaceae.